AAGCGUGCGCAGGCGGUUUUGUAAGUCAGAUGUGAAAUCCCCGAGCUCAACUUGGGAACUGCGUUUGAAACUACAAGACUAGAAUAUGUCAGAGGGGGGUAGAAUUCCACGUGUAGCAGUGAAAUGCGUAGAGAUGUGGAGGAAUACCAAUGGCGAAGGCAGCCCCCUGGGAUAAUAUUGACGCUCAUGCACGAAAGCGUGGGGAGCAAACAGGAUUAGAUACCCUGGUAGUCCACGCCCUAAACGAUGUCUACUAGUUGUUGGUGGAGUAAAAUCCAUGAGUAACGCAGCUAACGCGUGAAGUAGACCGCCUGGGGAGUACGGUCGCAAGAUUAAAACUCAAAUGAAUUGACGGGGGCCCGCACAAGCGGUGGAUUAUGUGGAUUAAUUCGAUGCAACGCGAAAAACCUUACCUGGCCUUGACAUGUAACGAACUUUCCAGAGAUGGAUUGGUGCUCGAAAGAGAGCGUUAACACAGGUGCUGCAUGGCUGUCGUCAGCUCGUGUCGUGAGAUGUUGGGUUAAGUCCCGCAACGAGCGCAACCCUUGCCAUUAAUUGCCAUCAUUUAGUUGGGCACUUUAAUGGGACUGCCGGUGACAAACCGGAGGAAGGUGGGGAUGACGUCAAGUCCUCAUGGCCCUUAUGGCCAGGGCUUCACACGUAAUACAAUGGUCGGUACAGAGGGUUGCCAAGCCGCGAGGUGGAGCCAAUCCCAGAAAGCCGAUCGUAGUCCGGAUUGUAGUCUGCAACUCGACUACAUGAAGUCGGAAUCGCUAGUAAUCGCGGAUCAGCAUGUCGCGGUGAAUACGUUCCCGGGGCCUUGUACACACCGCCCGUCACACCAUGGGAGUGGGUUUUACCAGAAGUAGGUAGUCUAACCCUUCGGGAGGACGCUUACCACGGUAGUAUUCAUGACUGGGGGUGAAGUCGUAACAAGGUAA
This 941-nucleotide ribosomal RNA is filed under the name uncultured bacterium. RNAcentral describes it as "bacterial SSU rRNA". It matches the Rfam family "Bacterial small subunit ribosomal RNA", at positions 563 to 1499 of the family's 1533-position model. The record is from RNAcentral.